AACUCUUAAGACUUAUCUGUUCGAGAGUUUGGUAUGUGGACACUGUAAGAGAAAACAGACGGGAAUCGACGAGAGUUUCUUGUGAAAAGAAAUUCAUCGAAAGGCUUAGAAAAAGUCGUAACCAAUUCUGAUUCAUCUUGAGUGUUUCAAAGUGAUGAAUUUCAUGUUAUAAUCUACUGAUUUCCAUGGAGAUUUGGAAGUAAUCAAAGAAGGGUUUUUCUUUGUUCUUGUUUGAUGGUUAAAGGUUGUACUGUUUGAAUAGGUGUCUUUGAAUUCAGUGGGCGGAUUGCGAAGUUUGAGGUUUGAGUAGCAGUUGAGGUGGGAACUUGCAUUACUUUUUCGUAACCAUUGAUGGCUUUACAAAAUUAUGUUUAUGCACUCUUACAAAUUCAUGCAUUAUUAUUUUCCAUUCUUGAAAAUUCUGUAGAUUCUAUUACUCUUUCCAUCACUUGGAAAAGACCUGGUUUGUGCUUGUUCGCCUCUGUGAUUGUGUGGGAAAUAAGAAUUUCCUUUUUGCGGUAUAUAGGACUCUGCUCCUUCUUUUUAUAACUACUUACAUUCAGCUUUUA
Papaver somniferum (opium poppy) is the source of this 569-nucleotide long non-coding RNA. RefSeq lists it as uncharacterized. NCBI's taxonomy places the organism in Eukaryota, Viridiplantae, Streptophyta, Magnoliopsida, Ranunculales, Papaveraceae. The transcript has 2 exons. The record is from RefSeq and is a predicted model, not a curated record.